RNAcentral lists this ribosomal RNA (252 nucleotides) under uncultured bacterium. RNAcentral describes it as "partial 16S ribosomal RNA". It matches the Rfam family "Bacterial small subunit ribosomal RNA", at positions 524 to 776 of the family's 1533-position model. The record is from RNAcentral.
UACGUAGGGUGCGAGCGUUGUCCGGAAUUAUUGGGCGUAAAGGGCUCGUAGGCGGUUUGUCGCGUCGGGAGUGAAAUCCACUGGCUUAACUGGUGGCUUGCUUUCGAUACGGGCAGACUGGAGGUAUGCAGGGGAGAACGAAUUCCUGGUGUAGCGGUGAAAUGCGCAGAUAUCAGGAGGAACACCGGUGGCGAAGGCGGUUCUCUGGGCAUGUCCUGACGCUGAGGAGCGAAAGUGUGGGGAGCAAACAGG